RNAcentral lists this ribosomal RNA (890 nucleotides) under Oscillospiraceae bacterium. RNAcentral's name for it is "bacterial SSU rRNA". It matches the Rfam family "Bacterial small subunit ribosomal RNA", at positions 117 to 1022 of the family's 1533-position model. The record is from RNAcentral. Lineage: Bacteria; Bacillati; Bacillota; Clostridia; Eubacteriales; Oscillospiraceae.
GUGAGUAACCUGCCUUACAGAGGGGGAUAACGUCUGGAAACGGACGCUAAUACCGCAUGACAUUUCAGCACCACAUGGUGCAGAAAUCAAAGGAGCAAUCCGCUGUAAGAUGGACUCGCGUCCGAUUAGCUAGAUGGUGAGAUAACAGCCCACCAUGGCGACGAUCGGUAGCCGGACUGAGAGGUUGAACGGCCACAUUGGGACUGAGACACGGCCCAGACUCCUACGGGAGGCAGCAGUGGGGGAUAUUGCACAAUGGAGGAAACUCUGAUGCAGCAACGCCGCGUGAAGGAAGACGGUCUUCGGAUUGUAAACUUUUGUACUUGGGGACGAUAAUGACGGUACCCAAGCAGCAAGCUCCGGCUAACUACGUGCCAGCAGCCGCGGUAAUACGUAGGGAGCGAGCGUUGUCCGGAUUUACUGGGUGUAAAGGGUGCGUAGGCGGCUUGGCAAGUCAGUUGUGAAAACUAUGGGCUCAACCCAUAGCCUGCAAUUGAAACUGUUGAGCUUGAGUGAAGUAGAGGUAGGUGGAAUUCCCGGUGUAGCGGUGAAAUGCGUAGAGAUCGGGAGGAACACCAGUGGCGAAGGCGACCUACUGGGCUUUAACUGACGCUGAGGCACGAAAGCAUGGGUAGCAAACAGGAUUAGAUACCCUGGUAGUCCAUGCCGUAAACGAUGAUUACUAGGUGUGGGGGGUCUGACCCCCUCCGUGCCGGAGUUAACACAAUAAGUAAUCCACCUGGGGAGUACGACCGCAAGGUUGAAACUCAAAGGAAUUGACGGGGGCCCGCACAAGCAGUGGAGUAUGUGGUUUAAUUCGAAGCAACGCGAAGAACCUUACCAGGUCUUGACAUCCAGCUAACGAAGCAAAGAUGCAUUAGGUGCCCUUC